UGGAGACAGGUGCUGCAUUGGCUGUCGUCAGCUCGUGUCGUGAGAUGUUGGGUUAAGUCCCGCAACGAGCGCAACCCUUGCCAUUAGUUGUCAGCGAGUCAUGUCGGAUACUCUAAUGGGACUGCCGGUGACGAGCCGGAGGAAGGUGGGAUGACGUCAAGUCAGCAUGGCCUUUAUGUCCAGGGCCACACACGUGCUACAAUGGACGGUACAGAGGGACGCAAGACCGCAAGGUGGAGCAAAUCCUCAAAACCGUUCUCAGUUCGGAUUGUAGGCUGCAAUUCGCCUACAUGAAGCUGGAAUUGCUAGUAAUCGCAGAUCAGCUACGCUGCGGUGAAUACGUUCUCGGGCCUU
This 354-nucleotide ribosomal RNA is filed under the name uncultured Aminicenantes bacterium. RNAcentral's name for it is "bacterial SSU rRNA". It matches the Rfam family "Bacterial small subunit ribosomal RNA", at positions 1029 to 1382 of the family's 1533-position model. The record is from RNAcentral. Lineage: Bacteria; Candidatus Aminicenantota.